This 334-nucleotide RNase P RNA is filed under the name Bacillota bacterium. RNAcentral describes it as "RNase P RNA component class B". It matches the Rfam family "Bacterial RNase P class B". From Rfam's summary of the family: Ribonuclease P (RNase P) is a ubiquitous endoribonuclease, found in archaea, bacteria and eukarya as well as chloroplasts and mitochondria. RNAcentral also lists the same sequence under 2 other names. Lineage: Bacteria; Bacillati; Bacillota. The record is from RNAcentral.
CGAUCUGGAUAAUUGCUGGUAGUUUAGCUAUUAGAGGAAAGUCCAUGCUCGUACGAGCUGAGAUGCUCGUAGUGAUUGUGCUAACGGAAACAAUAACGUUAGGUAGGGAGGAGUCCCUAACGGCGAAGGAAAGCCUAAGUCAACUGAUAUGGUUAACCUUCUGAAAGUGCCACAGUGACGGAGCCUAGGUGGAAACGCUUAGGGUGGAACGCGGUAAACCCCACAAACGAGAAACCUAAAUUUGGUAAGGGAAACGGCAACAGGGAAAUGAACCUAGCGUCGUAUGUGAAAACAUAGAUAAAUAAUUAUCCACGACAGAACAUGGCUUAUAGGA